CCCCAAAUCCACCUCUGCCUUCUCUGUCCAGAGAACUAUUUUCAAUGUGUCUUCUAAGAAUCUGUUCAAGGUACACUUUAUGAGACCUUUCCUGUUCUAGGUUGUUACUCUGCAGUCCCAGAAUCCUCCAGGCAUAGCUUUACCGGCUUGUUUAUUAUCCAAUUGUGAUGAUUUGUUUGCAUAGUGACCUAUACUAUUAGUCUAUGAGCUCAUUAACAUACCUUGGUCAUCUGACUGUUCCCAGAAUGAAGCACAGUUCUUGGCUUCACAGUAGAUAUGAAGAGUUGUAGUGGAGAGAAAGAAAUAUAAGGCCCAUUUCCUAUCCACCUCUCCUGCCAGAAAGAUCAGUGCUGUUCUCAACCUCUGUCUCAGAAGUGGACAGCAGACAAUGAAAAGACUCUGUAACCGGUCAAAGUAUUGAAAAUAAGUGACUGCUGAGUCACAGCCCUAAAUGGAGGAGAUGAGAUGAUUCUUUUGGCUCCAACAACCUCUACAACAUUUCAGCAAGGCCGUUCUCUGUUUACCAAAUGAAUACACUGGCCCAGGAGCCAAGGAGAAAUCAGUUCCAGGCCUCUCCAAUGAAAAAAGAGAAGAAUGCUAUAAGUUCUAAAUCCAAAGGGAAGUCUUGGGGUUGAGUUAACUGGAGAGUCUGUGCUGAAGUUUGUAGGUGUGCAAAGUCAGGAGCAGCACUAUGCUGAGAUGAUUGGAACUCAAAAUUCUACAACUCUCUUUCAACCGUCUCCACUGGAAGCAAGGAGCAUCCUGCAACCGGCUGCUUUCCCAUCCCACCUGGAUCUUCUCGAAAGCCGGCCGCCACCUAAGAAGAUCUAUCUAAUCGGGUCAGCGCGUUGGACUCUCAAUGUCAUUUGUAAAUGCUAUCUCCAAGGGUGUGUGGAGAAACUGCCUAAGCGAAGGAGCCGUGGGAGCCCGGCUCCUGUCCCCAGGGCACCUUAAAGGAACUUCAGUACCUCAACUCCAAGUUCAAAGGUGGGAAUGCCCAAGGUGUGUCUGAGGUGUGGGAAAAAGAGCAGAGUCAGAGAAGACCACAGCUUACACCAGUCUGGAAAAUGCCAUGGGCGCGUGCAGCAAGUAGACGGACACGGCGCUGUGGAACAGCUUGUGAGCAGGUUUCGGGGAACACUGCGCUGGCAACGGUGUGCAUGCUAGAAUGGAGUCUCACUAGUUUUGCUGGUGGAAAACAUGUUCCAUGGCAAGACAAUGUAUGACCCAAGUUUGGAUCCCAGCACCCACAUGGCAGCUCACAACCAUCUCUAACUCCAAUUCCAGGGGAUCCAGCACCCUCUUCUGACCUCUGAGGCAGCAGGCUCACAUGUGGUGCACCGGCAUACGUGCAGGCAAAACACACACUUGAAAUAAAUUUUUUGAAAAAUGA
Long non-coding RNA from Mesocricetus auratus (golden hamster), 1393 nucleotides. RefSeq lists it as uncharacterized. The record is from RefSeq and is a predicted model, not a curated record. The transcript is spliced from 8 exons. NCBI's taxonomy places the organism in Eukaryota, Metazoa, Chordata, Mammalia, Rodentia, Cricetidae.